This is a long non-coding RNA of Hippocampus zosterae (dwarf seahorse), 569 nucleotides long. RefSeq lists it as uncharacterized. The transcript is spliced from 2 exons. The record is from RefSeq and is a predicted model, not a curated record. Lineage: Eukaryota; Metazoa; Chordata; Actinopteri; Syngnathiformes; Syngnathidae.
AGAAAAGUUCUUUUCGAGAAAGAAAAGUCAAGUUUUGAUAAAUUGACACAAUGGGAAAAAUAUAUUAUGUACUUAAAUUCAGUAGCUAAUCCUUCGUACUUCCAAGUAUAUGUACCUCGUUACUUCCCACCACUGUGUAGUACAGCACUUAAUGACAACAUUUAUAUAGUUGGUUCUUACUUGUGUCAUUUUUGGAGGGUUUCGAGUUCUCAACAAGCGGGACGGCCUUCAGUGGCUUCUUCCAUCCGACCAGCUGAAACUGGGAGUUGGGACUCGGCUCGCACACGUUGUGGCCGCCGAACAAGCACCUCACCAGCAGGCACUGCGCCGGGCCGUCAGCCGGGAAGCCCAGCAGAGCCAUCUGGCAACGGAGAUCAUCGCAGCAUUUCUCCCGGCAGUCCGCCGGGUCGGAGAUAUCCAAGCGUUCCACGAUCGUAGCUCCGGCAUCGAAGGACGGUGCUCCCAAGUCAUUGUCUAAUGGCCUCCAGUCGCAGGAAACAACCAGACCGACGCAGAGAGACCACAAAGCACACCCGAGGGGCGCUCGUUUCAUGUUCAUCUUCUUCUUU